This is a long non-coding RNA of Homo sapiens (human), 1153 nucleotides long. RefSeq lists it as uncharacterized. Lineage: Eukaryota; Metazoa; Chordata; Mammalia; Primates; Hominidae. The record is from RefSeq and is a predicted model, not a curated record. The transcript has 3 exons.
UUUACAGGUCUUCAGAAGAAGAGGAGCCCAGGCACGGUGGCUCAUGCCUGUAAUCCCAGCACUUUGGGAGGUCGAGGUGGGAGAAUCAGCUGAGUUCAGGAGUUCAAGACCAGCCUGACCAACAUGGUGAAACCUCAUCUCUACUAAAAAUACAAAAAGUAGCCAGGCAUGGUGGUGGACACCUGUAAUCCCAGCUACUCAGGAGGCUGAGGCAGGAGAAUCGCUUGAACCCCAGAGGCAGAGAUUGCAGUGACCUGAGAUCGUGCCACUGCACUCCAGCCUGGGCAACAGAGUGAAACUUCUUUAAAAAAGAAAAAAAAAAAGAAGAGGAGGAAUUGUAUUCUGGAAGUAUACUUAAGGUAAUACAGUUGAGAAAUCUCAUCUAUACAUGGACCUGAUUUAGAUGAUGAAAUUCUAGACUUUGAGCUGAUGCUAUAAUGGGAUUCGACUUUGGGGUAGCUUGAGAGGGAGCGAGUGUAUUUUGCAUGUGGAAGGAAUGUAAAUCACCAGAAUUCAGAGGGCAUGCUCGUGGUGGCCAUUCUUUAAAACAUCCCCCAGUGAUUCCGACCUCCUGAUAUGCAUGCCUUUCCAUAGUCUCCUACAUUGUGUCUGGGUUGGUCUGCAAAGCCAAUGCAGUAUGAAAUGAUGUGUGUGACUUCCAAAGCUAGGUCCUAAAAGACAUUAGGGCUUUCCGUCUCCUCCCUCCCCACUCUCCCUCUUUCUUGUUCUGCUUUCUCUGAGAGAAAUUAACUACUAUGUCAUGAGGUCACUCAAGAAACUCUAUGGAGAGGUCCACGUGGCAAGGAACUGAGCCCUCCUGCUACGAGCCAGUGAGGAACUGAACCCUCCAACUACCAACCACGUGGGGCAGCCAUCUUGGAAACAGAUCCUCCUGCCCCGGUUAAGACUUCAGAUGACUACAGCCAAUCUCUUGACUGAAACCUCAUAAGACUCUUGAACUAGAACCAACUGACUCCCAAAACUGUGUAAGGUGAUGUCCACUGGUCACUUAUGUGUACCCUCUCUGUCCCGAUAUGGCUCCAGGACACUGACAUCAGAUGAUAUUUCCAAGGUCCAACUCUCCUCCACAGCCUGCCAAAGCUGGUCAAAAAGAGGAGUCACUUCCCUCAAGGAUGAACUGUAAAGGAAUGCC